AUUGAACGCUGGCGGCAGGCCUAACACAUGCAAGUCGAACGGUAACAGGAAGCAGCUUGCUGCUUUGCUGACGAGUGGCGAACGGGUGAGUAAUGUCUGGGAAACUGCCCGAUGGAGGGGGAUAACUACUGGAAACGGUAGCUAAUACCGCAUAACGUCGCAAGACCAAAGAGGGGGACCUUAGGGCCUCUUGCCAUCGGAUGUGCCCAGAUGGGAUUAGCUAGUAGGUGGGGUAACGGCUCACCUAGGCGACGAUCCCUAGCUGGUCUGAGAGGAUGACCAGCCACACUGGAACUGAGACACGGUCCAGACUCCUACGGGAGGCAGCAGUGGGGAAUAUUGCACAAUGGGCGCAAGCCUGAUGCAGCCAUGCCGCGUGUAUGAAGAAGGCCUUCGGGUUGUAAAGUACUUUCAGCGGGGAGGAAGGGAGUAAAGUUAAUACCUUUGCUCAUUGACGUUACCCGCAGAAGAAGCACCGGCUAACUCCGUG
This 490-nucleotide ribosomal RNA is filed under the name uncultured bacterium. RNAcentral's name for it is "partial 16S ribosomal RNA". It matches the Rfam family "Bacterial small subunit ribosomal RNA", at positions 30 to 507 of the family's 1533-position model. The record is from RNAcentral.